Molecule: ribosomal RNA, 800 nt
Filed under: uncultured bacterium
Lineage: Bacteria
Description: bacterial SSU rRNA
Rfam family: Bacterial small subunit ribosomal RNA
Source: RNAcentral
AGAGUUUGAUCAUGGCUCAGAUUGAACGCUGGCGGCAGGCCUAACACAUGCAAGUCGAGCGGUAGCACAAGAGAGCUUGCUCUCUGGGUGACGAGCGGCGGACGGGUGAGUAAUGUCUGGGGAACUGCCUGAUGGAGGGGGAUAACUACUGGAAACGGUAGCUAAUACCGCAUAACGUCUUCGGACCAAAGUGGGGGACCUUCGGGCCUCACGCCAUCAGAUGUGCCCAGAUGGGAUUAGCUAGUAGGUGGGGUAAUGGCUCACCUAGGCGACGAUCCCUAGCUGGUCUGAGAGGAUGACCAGCCACACUGGAACUGAGACACGGUCCAGACUCCUACGGGAGGCAGCAGUGGGGAAUAUUGCACAAUGGGCGCAAGCCUGAUGCAGCCAUGCCGCGUGUGUGAAGAAGGCCUUCGGGUUGUAAAGCACUUUCAGCGAGGGGGAAGGGUAGUGUGUUAAUAGCACAUUGCAUUGACGUUACUCGCAGAAGAAGCACUGGCUAACUCCGUGCCAGCAGCCGCGGUAAUACGGAGGGUGCAAGCGUUAAUCGGAAUUACUGGGCGUAAAGCGCACGCAGGCGGUUUGUUAAGUCAGAUGUGAAAUCCCCGCGCUUAACGUGGGAACUGCAUUUGAAACUGGCAAGCUAGAGUCUUGUAGAGGGGGGGUAGAAUUCCAGGUGUAGCGGUGAAAUGCGUAGAGAUCUGGAGGAAUACCGGUGGCGAAGGCGGCCCCCUGGACAAAGACUGACGCUCAGGUGCGAAAGCGUGGGGAGCAAACAGGAUUAGAUACCCCGGUAGACC